This 912-nucleotide unclassified non-coding RNA is filed under the name Hevea brasiliensis (rubber tree). The record is from RNAcentral. Lineage: Eukaryota; Viridiplantae; Streptophyta; Magnoliopsida; Malpighiales; Euphorbiaceae.
AUAACAACCUGAUAAUACACAAGUUUUAAACUCACAUCUCCAAGUAUAAAUUAAGGAACUUUUCUAUAACAAAGAUUGAAAAAUGUAUUUUCUAUUUUCAAUAACCUUCCUCAAAAGAAUUUCAAGAACCAAAAGUCCAAAAGUAACUAUGUGCCGGCCUUUUUUUAUCUUCCUGUUAAGAGCCAAUGCAAAAAUUCAAGAAAUGGGGUUAACCUAAUGCAAUUUAACCUAAAACUAGAAUGUGACUUGAGCAUUUACAGGGUUAACUCCUUAUGAGAAGUCCAGGCCUCGACGAGGCUGAAAAUCAAAAUCAUCUACCUCGCUUAUCAAUCUCUUCAUUAAGAAGUCGAGUCAUUAAACCUUGAUUAGGGGUCAAAUUAUUGGUUUUGAGAAGAUUGUUCAAUGCAUGAAGUUCUUCACAGUUUGCCUUCUUAAGUAGGCCACUCAGAACUAUAUCAGCUCGAGUAGGAUCAUUUGAGAUGUCGGAUUUUAUAUUGAGUUUUGAACGGUCCACAACUAGGGAAGAUUGUACAGUCUGCAUCAAGGGUUUAGAUUUCCAGAAUUCAGAACAUACCCGGUUUAUAUCCAUAUCUUGAAUGGCCUGUACAAUCUCUGUUGUUGAAAAACCAAACAUUUCCAUGCCCUCAACACUUCCAGGUGGUUGCAAAGGCAAAAGCUUUGGCUUUCCCAACUUAUGUUGCUUUAAAAUUUCUUGAUUCACUCUCUCGCGGACCAUAUCCCAGCAUUUAACAGGGGACAAGUGAACAAACACUUCAUUGGGACAACGCUCAAGUGUAACCAUAAACAGUGGGCCAUCUCGUCCUGCAUCUAUAACUUCAGAAAUAUAGUGAGACAUAUUUGUUGGAUCUAAAACAUCAAUGUAUCUGACCCGGCUCCUGAAUCCCUUGGGAU